RNAcentral lists this ribosomal RNA (408 nucleotides) under uncultured fungus. RNAcentral's name for it is "eukaryotic LSU rRNA". Lineage: Eukaryota; Fungi. The record is from RNAcentral.
AGAGUUAAACAGUGCGUGAAAUUGUUAAAAUGGAAACGAUUGAAAUCAGUAUUGCUGGCUAGAAAUCAGCCAAAUGUUACUUAGUAGUAUGUGUGGAGAGACCGUAAGGCUCUUGCUUAUGCUUACUAGGCUUCAUGUGGUGCACUUUCUUGUUGGCAGGUCAACAUCAGUUUUGCUCGGCGGAAAAAGGUGAAGGGAAGGUAGCAGUGCUUUCGGGUGCUGUGUUAUAGCCCUCAUUGAUACGCUGGGUGGGACUGAGGACUGCAGCACAGGCCUUUAGGCUGGCCGCCUGGAGUUUUCUAUUAGCCUCUGAUCGGACAGCACGCUGACCGGUUGGAGAUACUGGUGGAAUUAUUUCAGUCCGGUACAACUGUGCUUAGGAUGUUGACGAAAUGGUUUUAAACGACC